GUCUAUGGCCAUACUACCCUGAACAAGCCCGAUUCUGUAUGAUCUUGGAAACUAAACAGGGUCGGGUCUGGUUAGUACUUGAAUGAAAGACCAUCUAGGAAGGCCAGGUGCUUUAGGUG
Molecule: ribosomal RNA, 119 nt
Organism: Pteropus vampyrus (large flying fox)
Lineage: Eukaryota; Metazoa; Chordata; Mammalia; Chiroptera; Pteropodidae
Source: Ensembl